This 468-nucleotide ribosomal RNA is filed under the name uncultured bacterium. RNAcentral's name for it is "partial 16S ribosomal RNA". It matches the Rfam family "Bacterial small subunit ribosomal RNA", at positions 28 to 507 of the family's 1533-position model. The record is from RNAcentral.
GACGAACGCUGGCGGCGUGCUUAACACAUGCAAGUCGAACGGAAAGGCCCUGCUUUUGUGGGGUGCUCGAGUGGCGAACGGGUGAGUAACACGUGAGUAACCUGCCCUUGACUUUGGGAUAACUUCAGGAAACUGGGGCUAAUACCGGAUAGGAGCCCCUGCUGCAUGGUGGGGGUUGGAAAGUUUCGGCGGUUGGGGAUGGACUCGCGGCUUAUCAGCUUGUUGGUGGAGUAGUGGCUUACCAAGGCUUUGACGGGUAGCCGGCCUGAGAGGGUGACCGGCCACAUUGGGACUGAGAUACGGCCCAGACUCCUACGGGAGGCAGCAGUGGGGAAUAUUGCACAAUGGGCGGAAGCCUGAUGCAGCAACGCCGCGUGCGGGAUGACGGCCUUCGGGUUGUAAACCGCUUUCGCCUGUGACGAAGCGUGAGUGACGGUAAUGGGUAAAGAAGCACCGGCUAACUACGUG